CCUGCCUUAUACAGGGGGAUAACAGUUGGAAACGACUGCUAAUACCGCAUAAGCGCACGGUAUCGCAUGAUACAGUGUGAAAAACUCCGGUGGUAUAAGAUGGACCCGCGUCUGAUUAGCUUGUUGGUGAGGUAACGGCCCACCAAGGCGACGAUCAGUAGCCGGCCUGAGAGGGUGAACGGCCACAUUGGGACUGAGACACGGCCCAAACUCCUACGGGAGGCAGCAGUGGGGAAUAUUGCACAAUGGGGGAAACCCUGAUGCAGCGACGCCGCGUGAGUGAUGAAGUAUUUCGGUAUGUAAAACUCUAUCAGCAGGGAAGAUAAUGACGGUACCUGACUAAGAAGCACCGGCUAAAUACGUGCCAGCAGCCGCGGUAAUACGUAUGGUGCAAGCGUUAUCCGGAUUUACUGGG
RNAcentral lists this ribosomal RNA (415 nucleotides) under uncultured bacterium. RNAcentral describes it as "bacterial SSU rRNA". It matches the Rfam family "Bacterial small subunit ribosomal RNA", at positions 125 to 558 of the family's 1533-position model. The record is from RNAcentral.